Molecule: ribosomal RNA, 502 nt
Filed under: uncultured bacterium
Lineage: Bacteria
Description: bacterial SSU rRNA
Rfam family: Bacterial small subunit ribosomal RNA
Source: RNAcentral
GAUGAACGCUAGCUACAGGCUUAACACAUGCAAGUCGAGGGGAAACGACAUCGAAAGCUUGCUUUUGAUGGGCGUCGACCGGCGCACGGGUGAGUAACGCGUAUCCAACCUGCCCACCACUUGGGGAUAACCUUGCGAAAGUAAGACUAAUACCCAAUGACGUCUCUAGAAGACAUCUGAAAGAGAUUAAAGAUUUAUCGGUGAUGGAUGGGGAUGCGUCUGAUUAGCUUGUUGGCGGGGUAACGGCCCACCAAGGCGACGAUCAGUAGGGGUUCUGAGAGGAAGGUCCCCCANAUUGGAACUGAGACACGGUCCAAACUCCUACGGGAGGCAGCAGUGAGGAAUAUUGGUCAAUGGGCGAGAGCCUGAACCAGCCAAGUAGCGUGCAGGAAGACGGCCCUAUGGGUUGUAAACUGCUUUAUAAGGGAAUAAAGUGAGCCUCGUGAGGCUUUUUGCAUGUACCUUAUGAAUAAGGACCGGCUAAUUCCGUGCCAGCAGCCGC